Molecule: RNA transcript, 1264 nt
Organism: Ziziphus jujuba (common jujube)
Lineage: Eukaryota; Viridiplantae; Streptophyta; Magnoliopsida; Rosales; Rhamnaceae
Gene name: amino acid transporter AVT3B
Exons: 6
Source: RefSeq, a predicted model, not a curated record
AUGAGACCAGUGGCUAAUUCUUAUGAAAUCCAAUCGCGGAUUGAUCCGUUGCACGGCCAUUUAAACUAUGAGAUUAUUGGUCCCCGUAGCCAAGUUGGGAAAUUGAGAAACGUUAUUGGGAGAGACAGAGAGAGGAGAUGUUUUCAUCUACACUUCUUGGAACUGGUGAAAUUGGCCGUUGAUGAAGAUUAUCGAUCUUACUUAAUACUUCAAGUUAUAGUUGCUGCCUUUGUCAUGAAUAUUUACAUUGUUGGUUUAAAUCACUUGUACGACAUUGAUAUAGACAAGGAUAUAGAGCCAGCUCUUUCAGAGGUUUGGCUCUAUGUCAACUUGGAGGCAAUUUUAGUGGAAAAUAAGUCCUUGAGCAAGAUGGCGAUGAUGAAAUUGCAUUUGAUGAUCUCUUCCUCUAAUGCUCUCAAAGUCCUUCUACCUCCUGGAGAAGAAACCCCGCUCCUCGGCGAGGGAGACCCCAACAGCAGAUCUCUCUCUUCCCAAGCCAAUACCUUCGCCAACGUCUUCAUCGCCAUCAUCGGGGCCAGAGUUCUCGGCCUUCCUUACACUUUCAAGUGCACUGGUUGGGUUCGCGGCCUCCUCAUGCUCUUCGCCGUUGCAUCUCGCACCUACCACUGCAUGAUGCUCUUAAUCCACACUCGCCAGAAGCUCAAUUCUGUCCACUUAUUGAAGAACAGCAACAUCGCGUUGUUAUUGCUUAUUAGGAGUGGCUGUUUAUUGCUUUGAAGGGAUUGGUAUGGUUCUCCCUCUGGAAUCAGAAAUGAGAGACAAAUGAAAAUUUGGGAAAAUUGUUGCUUUUACUAUGGCUUCCAUAUGCUAGAUAUAUGGAAGUUUUGGAGCUAUCGAUUACUUUGCUUUUGGUGAAUAGACAGAAGAAAUGAUCACAGCAAACAUGGGAGCCAGAUUGGUGACCACUUUGGUGAAAUUUGGUCUCUGUGUGAAUCUCUUCUUUACCUUACCUAUAAUGAUGAACCUAGAUUAUGAAAUAGUGGAAAGAAGAUUUUGGGGUGGAAGAUGUUGCCUUUCGCUUAGAUGGUUAUCUGUUUUGUUGGUGAGUUUGGUGGCUAUUUUGGUUCCUAAUUUUGUUGAUUUCUUGUGCUUGGUGGGUAAUGGAGUUUGCUUUGCAUUGGGUUUUAUUUUGCCUUCUCUGUUCCACCUGGUGGUUUUCAUAGACGAGAUGGCUUGGGGAACAUGGCGUUCCCAUGUGAGCAUAAUGGUUGUGGGUCUUGUUCUUGGAGUUUUAGGAACUUAG